Molecule: ribosomal RNA, 375 nt
Filed under: uncultured bacterium
Lineage: Bacteria
Description: bacterial SSU rRNA
Rfam family: Bacterial small subunit ribosomal RNA
Source: RNAcentral
UAAGACGGAGGGGGCUAGCGUUGUUCGGAAUUACUGGGCGUAAAGCGCACGCAGGCGGUCCAUCGAGUCAGGCGUGAAAGCCCUGGGCUCAACCCAGGAAUUGCGCUUGACACUGGUGAACUGGAGUCCGGGAGAGGAUAGCGGAAUUCCCAGUGUAGAGGUGAAAUUCGUAGAUAUUGGGAAGAACACCGGUGGCGAAGGCGGCUAUCUGGACCGGUACUGACGCUGAGGUGCGAAAGCGUGGGGAGCAACAGGAUUAGAUACCCUGGUAGUCCACGCCGUAAACGAUGAGUGCUAGAUGUCGGGGGGCUUUUCCCUUCGGUGUCGCAGCUAACGCAUUAAGCACUCCGCCUGGGGAGUACGGCCGCAAGGCUA